CCAAACUUGGUCAUUUAGAGGAAGUAAAAGUCGUAACAAGGUCUCCGUUGGUGAACCAGCGGAGGGAUCAUUACAAGAGUUUUACAACUCCCAAACCACUGUGAACCACUCAUAUCAUGUUGCUUCGGCCGGCGGCUCCAGGGGGAGCCUGUGGCCUCCCGAUGGGGGAGGUGCCAGCCGGAGCACCCCCAAACCUCUAUUGUCUUCUGUGGGCUUAUUCUGAGAAAAAUUCAUAAAUUGUCAAAACUUUCAACAACGGAUCUCUUGGUUCUGGCAUCAAUGAAGAACGCAGC
This 293-nucleotide unclassified non-coding RNA is filed under the name uncultured fungus. Its description in RNAcentral is "partial contains small subunit ribosomal RNA, internal transcribed spacer 1, and 5.8S ribosomal RNA". The stretch from base 1 to 73 matches the Rfam family "Eukaryotic small subunit ribosomal RNA", at positions 1759 to 1831 of the family's 1831-position model. Lineage: Eukaryota; Fungi. The record is from RNAcentral.